UUCCACUCUGUUUUCAGAGCUUCUCCUGUGGUUGCAGUUUCCCAAAAUAAUCAGCUCAAAAUAGAGAGGGGAGAGGAGAGAAAGAGAAGGAGAGUUAUCAUAAGGAAUUGGCUUAUGUGAUUGUGGAGGCCGAGAAGUCCCACCAUCUGCCAUCUGCAAGCUGGCAGCUGGGGAAAGCCAGGGGUAUCAUUCAAUCUGAGUCCAAAGGCCUGAGAACCAGGGGAGCUGAUGAUGUAAACUGCAGUCUGAGGGAAGGAGAGAGUGAUAUUCCAGCUCAAGUCAUCUGGCAGAAAAGAAGGACCAAAUUCAGGGCUGGGCGAGGUGGCUCACGCCUGUAAUCCCAGCACUUUAGGGGGCCGAGGCAAGUGGAUCACUUGAGCUCAGGAGUUUGAGACCAGCCUGGCCAAUAUGGUGAAACCCCAUCUCUACUAAAAAUACAAAAAUUAGCUGGGCAUGGUGGCAUGUGCCUGUAAUCCCAGCUAUUUGGGAGGCUGAGGCGGGAGAAUCGCUUGAACCUGGGAGGCAGAGGUUGCAGUGAGUUAAGAUCGCACCACUGCACUCCAGCCCGGGUGACAGAGUGAGACUCUGUCUCCAAAAAAAAAAGGCCAAAUUCUCCCUUCCUCUGCCUUAAAGCCCUCAACAGCCCAUUGAGGAGGGUGAUCCACUCAUAGACAGAAUUGGAAAUGACGUUUUGCCAAGUAUCUGGGAACCCCAUGACCCAGUCAAGAUGAAACAUAAAAUUAACCAUCACAAAUGCUAAUGAUCAGAUAUAAAACGGGAAGUGGGGUAGGGAGUACUUAGAGGUGGGGGGCAACAGUUGUCACUGCAAACAGGAUGGUCAGGGAACCUGGCCUGAGACAGUAACAUGUAGAUCUGAAGGAGAGAGUAGGGGGCUUGAGAAGGGAAGUAACUCACCCAUGACCCUCACCCUUAUCCACUAACUCCUAACUCUGUGUUCUCUCCCUGAUGAUAGCUGGUUGUUUUAUUUUCAUAAAGUCGUGAGAUGUUAGAGAUGGAAGUGACCACUGGGGAUGGCCAUAAGUUUCACUGAAGAUCCUAAGUCUAUUAAACAAAAAAUUGAAUUUUUGUGGCAACUCACAUUGAUAGUGGUGGCUUUCUGGAGCAUGGCAUAGAGCAAGAUCCAGAGGUUAGGUCUGGGUUCAGAGCAAAAAGUGACAUUUUCCCCAAGUUCAGCAGGAGGAUGGUCACAUUAGACAGUCGGUGGCCCAUUCCUCUUCUAGAGUGACCCUCCCAUUACACGAUGAGGACAUAGGCAGCUGGAGUGUAACAGACAGGAAGUGGCUGGAUUUUCAAAAUGGUCUUUAGCAUGAACACUUUUAUGCCUUCACUGUCUCCAUUAUUGACUAAAGGAAAGUAAAAGAAAUGGAGGAGGCCGGGCGCGGUGGCUCACACCUGUAAUCCCAGCACUUUGGGAGGCCAAGG
RNAcentral lists this long non-coding RNA (1443 nucleotides) under Homo sapiens (human). RNAcentral's name for it is "HSALNT0394625". The record is from RNAcentral. Lineage: Eukaryota; Metazoa; Chordata; Mammalia; Primates; Hominidae.